AUCAAAAGACUGCUCAAAACACAUAAUUUCCAUCCAAUACUAGAAAUUACAAACUUCACUCUAAUCAAUCUGAAUUCACAAAAUUUCUGUAAUUACUAACUUCCUUUGUCCAAAACACACAUAGCUCUCAAUAAACAAAAAUCAUAAUCUUCCAAUAAUUCCUUAUAUAAUUCAAUCACACAGUACUUCAAUUACAUAAUCAAUAACU
Molecule: long non-coding RNA, 208 nt
Filed under: Physcomitrium patens
Lineage: Eukaryota; Viridiplantae; Streptophyta; Bryopsida; Funariales; Funariaceae
Description: long non-coding RNA (PPAT_LNC014554)
Source: RNAcentral